GGGUUGUGAGGUUAAGCGACUAAGCGUACACGGUGGAUGCCCUGGCAGUCAGAGGCGAUGAAGGACGUGCUAAUCUGCGAUAAGCGUCGGUAAGGUGAUAUGAACCGUUAUAACCGGCGAUUUCCGAAUGGGGAAACCCAGUGUGAUUCGUCACACUAUCAUUAACUGAAUCCAUAGGUUAAUGAGGCGAACCGGGGGAACUGAAACAUCUAAGUACCCCGAGGAAAAGAAAUCAACCGAGAUUCCCCCAGUAGCGGCGAGCGAACGGGGAGCAGCCCAGAGCCUGAAUCAGUGUGUGUGUUAGUGGAAGCGUCUGGAAAGGCGUGCGAUACAGGGUGACAGCCCCGUACACAAAAAUGCACAUGCUGUGAGCUCGAUGAGUAGGGCGGGACACGUGGUAUCCUGUCUGAAUAUGGGGGGACCAUCCUCCAAGGCUAAAUACUCCUGACUGACCGAUAGUGAACCAGUACCGUGAGGGAAAGGCGAAAAGAACCCCGGCGAGGGGAGUGAAAAAGAACCUGAAACCGUGUACGUACAAGCAGUGGGAGCACAGAGCAAUCUGUGUGACUGCGUACCUUUUGUAUAAUGGGUCAGCGACUUAUAUUCUGUAGCAAGGUUAACCGAAUAGGGGAGCCGAAGGGAAACCGAGUCUUAACUGGGCGUUAAGUUGCAGGGUAUAGACCCGAAACCCGGUGAUCUAGCCAUGGGCAGGUUGAAGGUUGGGUAACACUAACUGGAGGACCGAACCGACUAAUGUUGAAAAAUUAGCGGAUGACUUGUGGCUGGGGGUGAAAGGCCAAUCAAACCGGGAGAUAGCUGGUUCUCCCCGAAAGCUAUUUAGGUAGCGCCUCGUGAAUUCAUCUCCGGGGGUAGAGCACUGUUUCGGCAAGGGGGUCAUCCCGACUUACCAACCCGAUGCAAACUGCGAAUACCGGAGAAUGUUAUCACGGGAGACACACGGCGGGUGCUAACGUCCGUCGUGAAGAGGGAAACAACCCAGACCGCCAGCUAAGGUCCCAAAGUCAUGGUUAAGUGGGAAACGAUGUGGGAAGGCCCAGACAGCCAGGAUGUUGGCUUAGAAGCAGCCAUCAUUUAAAGAAAGCGUAAUAGCUCACUGGUCGAGUCGGCCUGCGCGGAAGAUGUAACGGGGCUAAACCAUGCACCGAAGCUGCGGCAGCGACGCUGAUGCGUUGUUGGGUAGGGGAGCGUUCUGUAAGCCUGCGAAGGUGUGCUGUGAGGCAUGCUGGAGGUAUCAGAAGUGCGAAUGCUGACAUAAGUAACGAUAAAGCGGGUGAAAAGCCCGCUCGCCGGAAGACCAAGGGUUCCUGUCCAACGUUAAUCGGGGCAGGGUGAGUCGACCCCUAAGGCGAGGCCGAAAGGCGUAGUCGAUGGGAAACAGGUUAAUAUUCCUGUACUUGGUGUUACUGCGAAGGGGGGACGGAGAAGGCUAUGUUGGCCGGGCGACGGUUGUCCCGGUUUAAGCGUGUAGGCUGGUUUUCCAGGCAAAUCCGGAAAAUCAAGGCUGAGGCGUGAUGACGAGGCACUACGGUGCUGAAGCAACAAAUGCCCUGCUUCCAGGAAAAGCCUCUAAGCAUCAGGUAACAUCAAAUCGUACCCCAAACCGACACAGGUGGUCAGGUAGAGAAUACCAAGGCGCUUGAGAGAACUCGGGUGAAGGAACUAGGCAAAAUGGUGCCGUAACUUCGGGAGAAGGCACGCUGAUAUGUAGGUGAAGUCCCUCGCGGAUGGAGCUGAAAUCAGUCGAAGAUACCAGCUGGCUGCAACUGUUUAUUAAAAACACAGCACUGUGCAAACACGAAAGUGGACGUAUACGGUGUGACGCCUGCCCGGUGCCGGAAGGUUAAUUGAUGGGGUUAGCGCAAGCGAAGCUCUUGAUCGAAGCCCCGGUAAACGGCGGCCGUAACUAUAACGGUCCUAAGGUAGCGAAAUUCCUUGUCGGGUAAGUUCCGACCUGCACGAAUGGCGUAAUGAUGGCCAGGCUGUCUCCACCCGAGACUCAGUGAAAUUGAACUCGCUGUGAAGAUGCAGUGUACCCGCGGCAAGACGGAAAGACCCCGUGAACCUUUACUAUAGCUUGACACUGAACAUUGAGCCUUGAUGUGUAGGAUAGGUGGGAGGCUUUGAAGUGUGGACGCCAGUCUGCAUGGAGCCGACCUUGAAAUACCACCCUUUAAUGUUUGAUGUUCUAACGUUGA
RNAcentral lists this ribosomal RNA (2216 nucleotides) under Escherichia coli. Its description in RNAcentral is "partial 23S ribosomal RNA". It matches the Rfam family "Bacterial large subunit ribosomal RNA", at positions 1 to 2231 of the family's 2925-position model. Lineage: Bacteria; Pseudomonadati; Pseudomonadota; Gammaproteobacteria; Enterobacterales; Enterobacteriaceae. The record is from RNAcentral.